RNAcentral lists this ribosomal RNA (253 nucleotides) under uncultured bacterium. RNAcentral's name for it is "partial 16S ribosomal RNA". It matches the Rfam family "Bacterial small subunit ribosomal RNA", at positions 524 to 776 of the family's 1533-position model. The record is from RNAcentral.
GACGUAGGAGGCGAGCGUUGUCCGGAUUUACUGGGCGUAAAGCGCGCGCAGGCGGUCGCGCAGGUCAUCUGUGAAAGCACCCGGCUCAACCGGGUUGUUGCGGGUGAAACCGCGUGACUUGAGGUCGGGAGGGGUCGGCGGAAUUCCCGGUGUAGUGGUGAAAUGCGUAGAUAUCGGGAGGAACACCCGUAGCGAAGGCGGCCGACUGGACCGAUCCUGACGCUGAGGCGCGAAGGCCAGGGGAGCGAACGGG